Molecule: long non-coding RNA, 293 nt
Organism: Brienomyrus brachyistius
Lineage: Eukaryota; Metazoa; Chordata; Actinopteri; Osteoglossiformes; Mormyridae
Exons: 3
Source: RefSeq, a predicted model, not a curated record
GGGUAAGAGCACUCUGCGGCACACAGGUGCGUGCGGCUUUGGAUAACGCAGCUCCUGUUGUUUUGGGUAGCUGUGAAGUUUGCCAUUAGACACCUAAAAGCACUCUGGGGAAUGUGGUUCUGGUGGUACCCUGCUGAGAAUGAGGAGACAGUGUCCUCUGAUCCUUUCUUCAGCUUCCAGCAUCACAUGACCUCCUCCCAGCAAUCAGUGUCCUACAAGACAGUCUCCUAGUCAGCAUCGAUGGAAGCCGGUCUUCUUUCAGAUGGACUCAUCUGACAAGGAUAAUUUCAAAG